RNAcentral lists this transfer RNA (109 nucleotides) under Rasamsonia emersonii. RNAcentral describes it as "tRNA-Met". It matches the Rfam family "tRNA". From Rfam's summary of the family: Transfer RNA (tRNA) molecules are approximately 80 nucleotides in length. Their secondary structure includes four short double-helical elements and three loops (D, anti-codon, and T loops). The record is from RNAcentral. RNAcentral also lists the same sequence under 1 other name. Lineage: Eukaryota; Fungi; Ascomycota; Eurotiomycetes; Eurotiales; Trichocomaceae.
GCUUCCAUGGUGUAGCUGGUUAUCACGCAGGUCUCAUACUCUGGUAUGACAUUGGGGCUCUAACCCCGAUGAUAUCCUGAGGUCCAGGGUUCGAACCCCUGUGGAAGCA